RNAcentral lists this ribosomal RNA (484 nucleotides) under uncultured bacterium. RNAcentral's name for it is "partial 16S ribosomal RNA". It matches the Rfam family "Bacterial small subunit ribosomal RNA", at positions 30 to 507 of the family's 1533-position model. The record is from RNAcentral.
AUUGAACGCUGGCGGCAGGCCUAACACAUGCAAGUCGAGCGGAUGAAGGGAGCUUGCUCCUGGAUUCAGCGGCGGACGGGUGAGUAAUGCCUAGGAAUCUGCCUGGUAGUGGGGGAUAACGUCCGGAAACGGGCGCUAAUACCGCAUACGUCCUGAGGGAGAAAGUGGGGGAUCUUCGGACCUCACGCUAUCAGAUGAGCCUAGGUCGGAUUAGCUAGUUGGUGGGGUAAAGGCCUACCAAGGCGACGAUCCGUAACUGGUCUGAGAGGAUGAUCAGUCACACUGGAACUGAGACACGGUCCAGACUCCUACGGGAGGCAGCAGUGGGGAAUAUUGGACAAUGGGCGAAAGCCUGAUCCAGCCAUGCCGCGUGUGUGAAGAAGGUCUUCGGAUUGUAAAGCACUUUUAGUUGGGAGGAAGGGCAGUAAGUUAAUAUCUUGCUGUUUUGACGUUACCAACAGAAUAAGCACCGGCUAACUUCGUG